This 717-nucleotide ribosomal RNA is filed under the name Acinetobacter baumannii Naval-18. RNAcentral describes it as "bacterial SSU rRNA". It matches the Rfam family "Bacterial small subunit ribosomal RNA", at positions 28 to 739 of the family's 1533-position model. Lineage: Bacteria; Pseudomonadati; Pseudomonadota; Gammaproteobacteria; Moraxellales; Moraxellaceae. The record is from RNAcentral.
AUUGAACGCUGGCGGCAGGCUUAACACAUGCAAGUCGAGCGGGGGAAGGUAGCUUGCUACCGGACCUAGCGGCGGACGGGUGAGUAAUGCUUAGGAAUCUGCCUAUUAGUGGGGGACAACAUCUCGAAAGGGAUGCUAAUACCGCAUACGUCCUACGGGAGAAAGCAGGGGAUCUUCGGACCUUGCGCUAAUAGAUGAGCCUAAGUCGGAUUAGCUAGUUGGUGGGGUAAAGGCCUACCAAGGCGACGAUCUGUAGCGGGUCUGAGAGGAUGAUCCGCCACACUGGGACUGAGACACGGCCCAGACUCCUACGGGAGGCAGCAGUGGGGAAUAUUGGACAAUGGGGGGAACCCUGAUCCAGCCAUGCCGCGUGUGUGAAGAAGGCCUUAUGGUUGUAAAGCACUUUAAGCGAGGAGGAGGCUACUUUAGUUAAUACCUAGAGAUAGUGGACGUUACUCGCAGAAUAAGCACCGGCUAACUCUGUGCCAGCAGCCGCGGUAAUACAGAGGGUGCGAGCGUUAAUCGGAUUUACUGGGCGUAAAGCGUGCGUAGGCGGCUUAUUAAGUCGGAUGUGAAAUCCCCGAGCUUAACUUGGGAAUUGCAUUCGAUACUGGUGAGCUAGAGUAUGGGAGAGGAUGGUAGAAUUCCAGGUGUAGCGGUGAAAUGCGUAGAGAUCUGGAGGAAUACCGAUGGCGAAGGCAGCCAUCUGGCCUAAUA